GAUGAACACUAGCGGCAGGCCUAACACAUGCAAGUCGAGGGGCAGCACAGAAAUACAGCAAUGAGUUUUGGUGGCGACCGGCAGACGGGGUCGUAACGCGUGUGCAACCUACCCUUAACCGGGGAAUAACGGAGGGAAACUUCCACUAAUCCCCCAUAACAUCGCAAGAGGCAUCCUUUGGGGUUGAAAGCUCCGGCGGUUAAGGACGGGAACGCGUUGUAUUAGAUUGUUGGUGAGGUAACGGCUCACCAAGUCUACGAUACAUAGGGGGACUGAGAGGUUAACCCCCCACACUGGUACUGAGACACGGACCAGACUCCUACGGGAGGCAGCAGUGAGGAAUAUUGGUCAAUGGACGCAAGUCUGAACCAGCCAUGCCGCGUGCAGGAAGACGGCUCUAUGAGUUGUAAACUGCUUUUGCAAGAGGAUAAUUGCGGGUACGUGUACCCGCUUGAAGGUACCUUGCGAAUAAGGAUCGGCUAACUCCGUGCCAGCCGCCGCCGUAA
Molecule: ribosomal RNA, 506 nt
Filed under: uncultured bacterium
Lineage: Bacteria
Description: partial 16S ribosomal RNA
Rfam family: Bacterial small subunit ribosomal RNA
Source: RNAcentral